AUUGAAAGAAAAAUAGGACAAGAAAGAACACAAGAGAUUUAACGAGGUUCGGUAAAUUAUACCUACGUCCUCGGGCACUAACACCAGAUGAUAACUUUACUAUCUCCAAAAUAUUACAAACAAAUAGAAUUCCUUAAGAAUUCUCAAAUGGGAGAAGAGAGAAAACUAAGAGAGAAAGAUUGGUUGGGAUGGUUGAAAUGAGAAAUGGUUAGGCCUAUUUAUAGUUGAAGUUCAGGGACUAACUUGCAAAUGGCCUAAAAAAUUAGGAACCAAAAUUGCAAUUAUCCCUUUCAACUUUAAACAACUUGCCAACUAUUUUUUUUCUUUCGGUGCCAAUUGCACCUCCCACCAUUUUUGACUUUUCAACCCCUUUUUAAUUUAACUUAUCAACAAUCUCCACCUUGAAGAUUUGAUUAGGAUAAUCACAUCUUCACACACUUCCUUCAACUCCCCAAAUUCGAUAAAGCUAUCUUUUGUAGUGCCUCCAAAUGCGCUCUCUAGCGCCAUACACCUAAAGGUGCUCAAAUUCUCAGGAUGUUAAUCAAGUUCAAACAAUGAUUAAACUUGAUUGUUGUUACCACCUUGGUCAUCAUAUCUGCGGGAUUAUCUGUUGUCGGAAUCUUCUCAAGUAGAAUUUUUCCUUUUUCAAAGACUUCCCGCACAAAGUGAUAUCUUACGUCGAUAUGCUUGGUUCUUGAAUGAUAGACUUGAUUUUUCGCUAAAUGAAUAGCACUCUGACUGUCACAAUAUAGACUAAUGUGACUUUGAACAACUCCCAAGUCUUUCAAUAAUCCAUUAAGCCAAAUAGCCUCCUUAACAGCUUCUGUAACUGCCAUAUAUUCUGCCUCUGUAGUAGACACAGCUACUGUAGACUGUAAGGUAGACUUCCAACUCACUGGGGCUUUCGCAAGAGUAAACAGAUACCCCGUAGUUGAACGACGUUUAUCUAAAUCACAGCAAAGUCAGAAUCAAUAUAUCCAACUACAAACUGACCAAGUGCUUCAUCCUGUUCAAAAAUUAAACCAACAUCUACGGUUUUUCGAAGAUACCGUAGAAUCCAUUUCACAGCUUGCCAAUGUCCUUUUCCAGGAUCAUGCAUAUACCUGCUCACAACUCCAACAGCUUGUGAAAUGUCAGGCCUCGUACACACCAUCGCAUACAUCAAACUCCCAACUGCAUUAGCAUAUGGGACUUUCGCCAUAUAUUCUCUUUCUUCUUCAGUUUUCGGAGAUAAUUGAGCACUAAGUUUCAAAUGAGAAGCAAGUGGGGUACUUACAUGUUUUGUGUUUUCAUUUACACCAAAACAUUGUAAUACCUUUUUCAGAUAUUGCUUCUGAUUCAAACAAAGCUUGCCUCUCUGUCUAUCUCUACUUAUCUCCAUGCCGAGAAUCUUCUUGGCCUCACCUAGAUCUUUCAUCUCGAACUCUUGAUUCAACUGAGCCUUCAGCUUAUCUAUCUCAUUUUGGCUCUUCGAAGCGAUUAACAUAUCAUCAACAUACAAGAGUAGAUAAAUGAAAGAUCCGUCAUGCAGCUUCUGCAAAUACACACAAUUGUCAUAUUUGCUUCUUGUGUACUUCUGCCUUCUCAUAAAGCUAUCAAAUCACUUGUACCACUGCCUCAGGGAUUGCUUCAAUCCAUAUAGCGAUUUGUUAAGCUUACAAACCCAAUUUCUACCACCAGCAUCUGUGUAUCCUUCUGGCUGAGUCAUAUAGAUCUCCUCUUCUAACUCACCAUGCAAGAAAGCCGUCUUAACAUCAAGUUGAGCUAGCUCCAAAUUCAACUAUGCUACCAAGGCCAACAAAAUUCUAAUGGAGGAAUGCUUCACAACAGGGGAAAAUACAUCAUUGUAGUCAAUUCCCUCCUUCUGAGCGUAGCCUUUAGCUACCAAUCUUGCCUUGUAGCGAAUAUCCUUCUUGCUAGGAGAUCCAUCUUUCUUUGCGAAUACCCACUUGCAUCCGAUUGCCCUUUUACCUUUCGGUAAUUGCGCCAACUCCCAAGUAUUAUUCUUUCGGAGAGACUGUAUUUCUUCAUCCAAGGCGCUUUUCCAUUUAUCACUUUCUAAGCUUUGCAUUGCUUCUUGAUAAGUGAUAGGAAUAUCAUCAACAACGGGAAGGGCGUAGGCCACCAUAUCAGUAAAUCGAGCAGGUUUACGAAUUUCUCUCCGUGGCCUUGCAACUGCAACUGGUUCUGGUGUACUUAGUGGUUCUUGGGUCAGAACCUCUUCAACCUCUAAUUCCUCCAUUGUGGCUGGAGAAUUAGACUUAUUAACUGGGCAAAUCCCCAUCUGCUCAAACUCCACCUGUUUUGGAGUACACUCCACCUGCUGUGGAGUAUUGCUCGUCUGAAUAUCUUUAUCUGCUACCUUUUUCAAUGUGGCAGAUUCAUCAAAGAUAACAUCUCUGCUACAGAUCAUUUUCUUUGUGCUUAAGCACCAAAGACGAAAUCCCUUCACUCCAGAAGUGAUUCCCAUAAAGAGAGCUUUCUUUGCCCUCGGAUCUAACUUUGACUCCUUCACAUGGUAAUAUACAGUGGAUCCAAACACAUGUAAGGAAUCAUAAUCUGUAGCCGAUUUUCCAGACCAUACCUCCAUAGGAGUUUUUCUUUCUAAUGCAGAUGAUGGCAAACGAUUAACAAGAUGGCCAGCGUAUGUCACAGCCUCAGCCCAAAAUUACUUGCCCAACCCAGCAUUGGACAACAUACAUCGAACUUUCUCCAGCAAUGUUCGAUUCAUACGCUCUGCCAAUCCAUUCUGCUGUGGUGUAUCCCUAACUGUGAAGUGUCGAACAAUACCAUACUCUUGGCACACAUCGAAGAACGGAUCACUUUUAUAUUCCCCUCCAUUGUCCGUCCUAAGCCGCUUGAUUUUCUUGCCAGUCUGGUUUUCGAUCAUAGUUUUCCAUUUAAGAAAAACUCCAAGCACUUCAUCUUUAGUUUUCAUGGUAUACACCCAAACUCUUCUGGAAAAGUCAUCAACAAAAGUAACAAAGUAGUGUUUUCCUCCCAACGAAGGUGUUUUGGAAGACCCCCACACAUCUGAGUGAAUAUAUUCCAAAAUACCUUUUGUAUUAUGGAUAGCAGUGUCGAAUUUCACUCUCUUUUGCUUCCCCAGAACACAAUGCUCACAAAAUUUUAAUUUGCAAGCCUUUGCACCUUUCAACAAUCCUUGCUUUGCCAGAAUUUGCAAGGAUUUUUCGCUGGCAUGUCCCAACUUCAUAUGCCACAACUGCAUUGAGUCCAAGUCUUUGUUACCGGAAGCUGCAGCGACUGCUCCAAUAACGGUACUACCUUGGUAGUAAUACAAGUUAUUUUUCCUGAUGCCCUUCAAUAUCACAAGUGCGCCAGAUGUCACUUUCAAAAUCCCAUCUCUCAUAGUAACAACUGAACCAUUGGAUUCCAAGGCUCCCAAUGAGAUGAGAUUUUUCUUCAAACUAGGCACGUACCGAACAUCAGUCAGAACUCUGGUUGAUCCAUCUUGAUUCUUUAAUUGGAUUGAAUCUAUCCCAACAGUUUUACAGGCAUUGUCAUUGCCCAUAUAAACAACUCCUCCAUUUAGUUCUACUAAAUCAGAGAACCACUCCCGGUUAGGGGACAUAUGAUAGGUACAACCCGAAUCCAAUAUCCACUCAUCUGAAUGGAACGACGAUGAUGAUGCAACCAGUGAUAGUUCAGAGUCACUAGUAUCAUGCUUAGCAACACAAGCAUCUACAGCAGCUUUUCCCUUAUUCUUCAGCUUUGGACAAUUUUUCUUCCAGUGGCCUUUCUCAUGACAAAAAAGCACAUUCAUCUUUCCCGAGUCUGGACUUUGACUUUGAUCUCCCCUUUUGAGUUUUCUUCCGAGUGUAUGAACGACCUCGGACUACUAAAGCUUCUUUAUCUCUGAUUGAGUUUUUCUGUUUGUCCUUCUUUCUCUGUUCAUAACUGUAUAAGGCCGCACAGACUUCGCUCAGAGAUAUAUCACUCCUGCCAUGAAGUAGAGUAGUUUCUAGGAACUCAAACUCCUCAGGAAGUGACCCCAACAGCAUCAAAGCCAAAUCUUCAUCUUUGAAUGUCUCAUCCAUAUUCAGCAAAUCAGUGACUAACUGAUUAAAUUUGGUGAUGUGAUCAUUCAUUGUGGUACUUGGGACGUAUGUGAAACGAAACAGUCUUUUCUUCAAGUGGAGCUUAUUUUGACUAUUUUUCUUCAAAAAUUUUUCUUCAAGUGCCACCCACAACUUAUUUGCAGAAGUCUCCUUUGAAAAAGCGUACCUCUGCUCUCGAGAAAGGCAUGAUCGAAUUGUGCCACAUGCCAACCGAUUGAUCGCCUUCCAAUCUUUCUCCUGUACAUCAUCUGGUUUUUCUUCAUCAAUGGCAAUGUCUAGACCCUGCUGAAAAAGGGCAUCUAGAACCUCACUUUGCCACAUACCAAAAUGACCUGUGCCAUCAAAGAUCUCCACGACCAGUCUUGCAUUUGCAAUUGUCGGUCUUGUCCACAUAGACGAUGUUGAAGCUCCUACACCGACCGUUUUCUCCAUAAUCUUUCAAUAUAUACCUAAGGAAAUCUUUUCUGAUGUGGAAGAUCAGUUUAAACUGCAACCACAGAGCAUACUACGAUUAACCUUCGGCUCUUGAUACCACUUGUUGUUCCAAUAGGGUCGGAAGCGUGUAAAUUAUUGUACUAAAAAAUCACACAAAGUUCAAUUCCCAGGGAAGAGAGGUGGAUCACAUGGAUCUCUUAAAUACCAAGUCUUUCCUUAGACAGAAUAUCCAUUCUAUAGUAAUUUAAUAGCACAAUUAAAUACUACUAUUAUACCCUCAAAUAUUGAAAGAAAAAUAGGAUAAGAAAGAACACAAGAGAUUUAACGAGGUUCGGUAAAUUAUACCUACGUCCUCGGGCACUAACACCAGAUGAUAACUUUACUAUCUCCAAAAUAUUACAAACAAAUAGAAUUCUUUAAGAAUUCUCAAAUGGGAGAAGAGAGAAAACUAAGAGAGAAAGAUUGGUUGGGAUGGUUGAAAUGAGAAAUGGUUAGGCCUAUUUAUAGUUGAAGUUCAGGGACUAACUUGCAAAUGGCCUAAAAAAUUAGGAACCAAAAUUGCAAUUAUCCCUUUCAACUUUAAACAACUUGCCAACUAUUUUUUUUCUUUCGGUGCCAAUUGCACCUCCCACCAUUUUUGACUUUUCAACCCCUUUUUAAUUUAACUUAUC
This 5185-nucleotide long non-coding RNA is filed under the name Gossypium barbadense (sea-island cotton). RNAcentral describes it as "long non-coding RNA (GBAR_LNC021256)". The record is from RNAcentral. Lineage: Eukaryota; Viridiplantae; Streptophyta; Magnoliopsida; Malvales; Malvaceae.